GCCGCGAAAUGGCGGAAGUGGAGCCAGGCCCCGCGUCACCAACACGGAAGAAACCAGCGCACAGCAGCAACUGGUAGAGGAAGCAGACGUCCAGCGCCCGAAGAUGUACAGCUGCUUGCAGGCGGGGCCUCCUUCAAGCCAAGUGGUCGGCCGCACAGAGGCCACACCUUGCGCAGUGGGUGCGGUCACCGACUUCCCAUCUCUCCGGUCCUCGCUCUCUGCGGUCCAGACAAGCCCUCAAGCACACUAGACGACAACGCUGGCCCGAAGACAGCCUUGUGUAUGCCCUUCCCGCUGCCAGCAAGGCUCCCCUCCCCUUCCUCUUUGCCAGCGGAUUCUGCUCAUUCUGCAGAGCUCCGGAAAAGCCUAUGUCUAUGCCUACGUCCACACCCCACGUCUAGAGCUAGCUUCAUAGCUGCAUCUCCUGUCCACAGGUCUUGCAGCUUAAAAUGGCCACUUCCCCAGGAAAGCCUUCUCUGAGCACCAGCCUACCAGGUCCGGGCCCCGUGAAAAGCCCUGGUAGCACUUUCUUCCUUUUUGUAUGCUAGUCGUGGUGCAAUCAGAAAUAUAAAUUCCACAAAGGCAUGAAGGGAAGUUCCGCAAGCACUGAGAGCGAGUUUCUCUUUCCAGCACCUAAAGUGGUCCUGGCGUAGAGGGUGUAUCCUGCGGAUGCUUGUUUGUUGGUUUGUUUUUGGUACCACUGAUCGAACGCUGGACCUUGCGGUUCCAAGGCAGGCACCAGAACCAUUAAGCUAAAUCCCUCGCCCCUGCAGAUACUUGUUGACUGCACUGCUGAGCACUCUACCAAGUGCCAAUCCUGUGAUGGCAGUGGUGCGCAAGGUCCAGGCCCUGGCCUCAGGCAGUUUGCGGCUCCAUGGGCAGAGGGCAAGCAGACCAUGACUAUCCCCUGUGAGAAGUGUUGUGAAGACCACAAGCAGGUUGCUAAGGAAACACAUAGGAAGGGCAUGUUACCCAGCCUGGGGUGGGCAGUGGGGGCCAGUGAAGGCUCUCAGGAGGAGGUGUCCUCUAUGAAGAGCAGGUGCUGGGGGAAGAAGUAUGGGCAGAAUCAUUCCAGCCCAAGGGUGCAGCACCCAACCCCAAGAAAAGUUGGGGAAAGAGGGGCAGAAUCUCGAUCAGACAGAGGGACAGACAGACCCAAGAAGCACUGAAGUUUGCCCUGCUUACAUUUUCUUUUAUUAUUCUGGAGGGGAAGUUGCAGAUAUUCCAUAAUGCUUACAGAUAACUCAUUGCAUGAAAUAGACAUUAUUUAUGACAUCAUUGCAUUACAAAAAGAAAAGAGAAAAUGCCUGGUUGGAAGGUUUCAGUAUGUAAGCGGGUAUGAGCCUGCAUUUUCUGACAUCAGAAAGCCCCUUAAACCAUCCCAGAUCCUUGUUCAUGCAGAGCUUGCCCUCAGUUAUGUUUCUUCUGAGGCCAGGAAGGGAUUCUGCCAGGCUCUGGUUACCGGUGCCCUGUCUCGCUGCUAAUGACUAGCAGUGGAAAGAAUGCCUUUAUAACAGGAUCAGUGCCCUCGGACUCCUCUGCCUCCUCAGAGCCAGCUCUGCACUUGAAAAGCCCUGGUAAUGUGCCUCCAAGGCUGAUGAUAGAGGACUUGCCACUCAUUUUAUACCCCUUCUGUACCCCUAGGCCACUCAGUGACCUGUAUUCCCUCACAAAGUGCUUAUUCUAUGUCUCUUCGGAAUCCCAGCCUAUUGGAGAGAAAUUCACAGUGUCUGAGUUCCUGUCUACAAUAACUGGCUUAGUUGUGCUCUGACAGAUACACAGAAAGUAAAAAGCACAGUCCUUAGCAGCAAAGCGCUUACAAUUUGAGGACAUAAAAUGUAUGUACUUGAAGCAGUUAGAGUAUAGUAUUAAUUAAUUUUCUUUCAUUUAUAACCCAACUCUCCCCUCUUAAGGAAAAGGGAAAUUUUUUGGAUGAGACAUGGGAAUCAGUCAAAAUAAAAGUGUUGUAGGACCAGGACUGUAGAAUGUGAAGAAUCUAGGACAGUUCAGGAUCUUAGUAGCAGGAAUGUGUGAAUAUUUCUCCUCUCUUCUCCACUCUUCUCUCUGCUGCUCCCCUCCCUCCCCUCCAGGAAUCUGCAACUGGGUAAAUAGGGUGGGAGAGGAUAGUAGCUGGAUUAUGAAAGAUUUUGAAAAUAUAAAGAAGAUUAAACUACCCAAAAUCUCAUACUCCAAGACAACCACUGAUUUGCCUCUGACAUGUAUUCUUCCAGUCUUCAAGUGUCCAUUUUGACUUUGUCAGAGAGAAAGAAGUUGCACUGUUCCUGAUCCAGUGAAAAAGAUGGAUAAGAACACACUAUAAUGUUUUUACAAGCCUGACUUUCCUCUGGAUAGUAUUCAGCAGCAGCAUUCACCAUAUUUUUGAUCAUACCUCAUAAAGACAAAUUCCAGAGCUGCUUCAAAAAGUGACAAGAUUGAUGAGGUAAGUGUUCAAUGUG
Molecule: non-coding RNA, 2456 nt
Organism: Heterocephalus glaber (naked mole-rat)
Lineage: Eukaryota; Metazoa; Chordata; Mammalia; Rodentia; Bathyergidae
Source: RefSeq, a predicted model, not a curated record